This is a long non-coding RNA of Empidonax traillii (willow flycatcher), 209 nucleotides long. RefSeq lists it as uncharacterized. The transcript is spliced from 3 exons. Lineage: Eukaryota; Metazoa; Chordata; Aves; Passeriformes; Tyrannidae. The record is from RefSeq and is a predicted model, not a curated record.
AGAGAGUGCUCAGCCACUGGAAUGGGCUGCCCAGGGAAGGGGUGGAUUCUCCAUUCCUGGAGGUGUUUAAGGUGAGACUGGAUGUGGCACCAGUGCCAUGGUUUGGGAACCACGGCAGGGUUGGAUCAACGGUUGGACUUGAUGAUCUAGGAGGUCUUUUCCAACACAGUUGAUUCUGUGAUUCUAUGAUUCUCAUUCUAAUGGCAGCA